This 465-nucleotide ribosomal RNA is filed under the name Vreelandella stevensii. Its description in RNAcentral is "partial 16S ribosomal RNA". It matches the Rfam family "Bacterial small subunit ribosomal RNA", at positions 338 to 795 of the family's 1533-position model. The record is from RNAcentral. Lineage: Bacteria; Pseudomonadati; Pseudomonadota; Gammaproteobacteria; Oceanospirillales; Halomonadaceae.
CCUACGGGUGGCAGCAGUGGGGAAUAUUGGACAAUGGGCGAAAGCCUGAUCCAGCCAUGCCGCGUGUGUGAAGAAGGCCUUCGGGUUGUAAAGCACUUUCAGUGGGGAAGAAAGCCUUGGGGCUAAUACCCUCGAGGAAGGACAUCACCCACAGAAGAAGCACCGGCUAACUCCGUGCCAGCAGCCGCGGUAAUACGGAGGGUGCGAGCGUUAAUCGGAAUUACUGGGCGUAAAGCGCGCGUAGGCGGUCUGAUAAGCCGGUUGUGAAAGCCCCGGGCUCAACCUGGGAACGGCAUCCGGAACUGUCAGGCUAGAGUGCAGGAGAGGAAGGUAGAAUUCCCGGUGUAGCGGUGAAAUGCGUAGAGAUCGGGAGGAAUACCAGUGGCGAAGGCAGCCGUCUGGACUGACACUGACGCUGAGGUGCGAAAGCGUGGGUAGCAAACAGGAUUAGAUACCCCAGUAGUC